Molecule: ribosomal RNA, 454 nt
Filed under: uncultured Prevotellaceae bacterium
Lineage: Bacteria; Pseudomonadati; Bacteroidota; Bacteroidia; Bacteroidales; Prevotellaceae
Description: partial 16S ribosomal RNA
Rfam family: Bacterial small subunit ribosomal RNA
Source: RNAcentral
ACGGGAGGCAGCAGUGAGGAAUAUUGGUCAAUGGGCGGAAGCCUGAACCAGCCAAGUCGCGUGAAGGAUGAAGGUAUUAUGUAUUGUAAACUUCUUUAGCAGUGGAGUAAUAAGGGAGUCGUGACUCCUGAUGCAAGUACACUGAAAAUAAGGAUCGGCUAAUUCCGUGCCAGCAGCCGCGGUAAUACGGAAGGUCCGGGCGUUAUCCGGAUUUAUUGGGUUUAAAGGGAGCGCAGGCGGCCUGUUAAGCGUGUGGUGAAAUGUAGUCGCUCAACGUCUGCACUGCCACGCGAACUGGCGGGCUUGGGUGCGGUGAACGCUGGCGGAAUUCGUGGUGUAGCGGUGAAAUGCUUAGAUAUCACGAAGAACUCCGAUUGCGAAGGCAGCUGGCGGUACCGUUACCGACGCUCAUGCUCGAAAGUGUGGGUAUCGAACAGGAUUAGAUACCCUGGUA